CAAAACCCAGGUGACCAUCAAAAGCCCUGCAGGCCUCACCUGCCUCAGUUAAGCUGCUGAAAACAGCGGGAGUUACAGUUUGCGAUUACCGGCCGGGACUGAGCUGACCUGCUUGCUCUGGU
Fundulus heteroclitus (mummichog) is the source of this 122-nucleotide long non-coding RNA. RefSeq lists it as uncharacterized. The transcript has 3 exons. Lineage: Eukaryota; Metazoa; Chordata; Actinopteri; Cyprinodontiformes; Fundulidae. The record is from RefSeq and is a predicted model, not a curated record.